CAAAUAGGGGAAAAGAAACCAACAGGGAUUGCCUUAGUAGCGGCGAGUGAAGCGGCAAAAGCUCAAAUUUGAAAUCUGGCGCCUUCGGUGUCCGAGUUGUAAUUUGAAGAUUGUAACCUUGGGGUUGGCUCUUGUCUAUGUUUCUUGGAACAGGACGUCACAGAGGGUGAGAAUCCCGUGCGAUGAGAUGCCCAAUUCUAUGUAAGGUGCUUUCGAAGAGUCGAGUUGUUUGGGAAUGCAGCUCUAAGUGGGUGGUAAAUUCCAUCUAAAGCUAAAUAUUGGCGAGAGACCGAUAGCGAACAAGUACAGUGAUGGAAAGAUGAAAAGAACUUUGAAAAGAGAGUGAAAAAGUACGUGAAAUUGUUGAAAGGGAAGGGUUUGAGAUCAGACUCGAUAUUUUGUGAGCCUUGCCUUCGUGGCGGGGUGACCCGCAGCUUAUCGGGCCAGCAUCGGUUUGGGCGGUAGGAUAAUGGCGUAGGAAUGUGACUUUACUUCGGUGAAGUGUUAUAGCCUGCGUUGAUGCUGCCUGCCUAGACCGAGGACUGCGAUUUUAUCAAGGAUGCUGGCAUAAUGAUCCCAAACCGCCCGCUAAAAAACGGGGGG
This 603-nucleotide ribosomal RNA is filed under the name Meyerozyma guilliermondii. Its description in RNAcentral is "partial large subunit ribosomal RNA". It matches the Rfam family "Eukaryotic large subunit ribosomal RNA", at positions 47 to 664 of the family's 3401-position model. Lineage: Eukaryota; Fungi; Ascomycota; Pichiomycetes; Serinales; Debaryomycetaceae. The record is from RNAcentral.